UGGAUUUUACUUUUUCUCACUUAUGAAGUGCAAAUUGAGAUCGUUGAUAUGAAACUUUUCCUUUUUUUUUCCAGUGUAGGUAUUUAGUGCUGUAAAUUUCUCUCUAAGUACAGCUUCUGAGUUCUCUAUCCAACGCCCUAUGGAUUGAGACUUCUUACUGUAGUUGGUGGGAAAAUGCAUUUUUCCUGGCUUUGUGCAAACUUCAGGGAAUUGUUUCUAAUAAUCCUUUCGGAUGGUUCUUUCCUUGACCUGUGGUCACAAAUACUGAGUUGAAUUCUCCAGGGGGACCUUCUGUAGCUUUCUCUUUUUGCAGGUCUCACCUGUCUACUACCCUGUCCCAAGAACUCUAGCAACAUUAGCCUUCCAGAUAAAAGUUCUUUCUCCUCUCAACUCAAGGAAGCCAUCAGGUUCUGCUGGGUUCCCAUUACCUACACCACAGCCAGGAAACUCAUGUCUGUAAGCUGAGGCAGUCACUGGGCUCAGUCUCUUAAGGAUCACCAUGCUCUGUUGCCUGAUAUCCAAGGUCUUGAGAAUAUUUUCAUACACUUUGUUUGGUUUUUUAUUUAUUUCAAAUAUCUGAACUUUUUUUAUUUGCAAUACUUCUGACACUGAAUGUAUGGAUUUUAUUUUCCCAUACUAAUAACCAGUUCUCCAAAUCUCUGGAAACAACUGGAUGUCCCACAAUUCAAUUCUGACAUUCCCUACUCAGAACUGGUGUCAGGCUGCACAGGUUUAAGAGCUCAGCCCCACAAGAUUGUCUUUGCUUCAUAUGCCAGUCACAAGUAUUGGUACCCGGGAUACUCACACUUCUGUGUUGUGUCUUGGACAUAUUCUGACUUGGCUGUGUUACCAAACCUUCAAUGCCAGAUUCUUAAAUCUCCAUAUCACAGAAGUGAGCACUGAACUCAGUACAAGAUUAACCAUACAGAAUUUACGAAGAGAGCUUGCGUACAAGGGAAUUCACCAGAAAAGAGGAGUUGAGUUCCCCAAGAGGUUCUUGUGGGUGGCUUAUACAGGGGCCUUGAGGUGUAUGUAGGGCUUGGGAAUAAGGAUGAGGUCAGUUGUCCCACAAUCAUCAUCAGGAGGCAGUUUAUCCCUGGGUAGCCACAAGAUGUUUUCCAUGGUCAGUAGACCAGUCAAAGGGCCUGAAAAAUAAUGCUUGUGCACACAUUUUAAUUACUAUUGAAUUGACAAAAAAGCUAUUGCAGAAUAUGAUGUUAAGAAAGGAUGUUAUCAUUGUACAUUCUUUCCUUUAAGGAUGUGGUUAGGUUAUAGAAUCUUACUGAAAGCAAGGAGUCACAGUUAGACCUCUGAUAUGGAGUUCUUUCAGUCAAGAUGUAGUCCAGAUGUUACCCAUAUACUCACUACAAAGUUGGGUGUUCCUACAACCCACCCUCCUUUCAGCUUCAGUAAUUUACUAGACCUGCUCAUAGACUUCAGGAACACUUUUUAUUUACACUUAGCUGUUUAUUAUAAAGAAUACAACUCAGGAAAGGCCAAAUAGAAGAGAUGCACAGGGCAAGUUAUGGGUGAAGGGACAUGGAGCUUCCUCUCCAUGCACAGAUGUACCUCUUCAGUUGCACCAGUCUCCCAUCACCCUUAUGUAUUCCCUGAACUCUGUUAUUUAAGGCUUUUAAUCAAGGAUUCAUUCUAUAGGCACAGUUGAUUAAAUCAUUGACCAUUGGUGAAUAACUGAAACUUUCAGAGUUAUUCAGUAGGGUAGAGCUGAAAGUUUCAACCCUCUAAUCAUGCCUUGGUCUUUCUGGUGACUAGUCUCCACCCUGAAGCUACCUAUGGGCCACUAGUCACCAGUCAUCUCAAUAGCAUACAAAAGACACUCAUCACUCUGGAGAUUCCAAGGGAUUUUGAAGUCCAGGACUAGGGACAAAGACCAAAUUGUUUGUGGGUUUUUCUGUGUCACAAGGUGGGAGCCUGAAUCUAGUUUCUUACACUACAUUGGCCAAAUACCAGAUUAAAAUUUUACAAGUUGUGUUAAUCCACAUAGGCAUGUAUAUAAAUUUUACAAGAUAUGAUUAGCAUCAUGAAACUAAGCUAAAGAGAGUGCUUUCUACUUAGAAAACAAAGAUAAUUAUACCUCUCAAAAAAACCCAACUUUUAAUGGAAUACAUAGAUUUAUUCUCAGAGAAGAACUCCAUAUACUCAUUUAUACAUUGAAAUGUUUAUUAAUAAUAAUAGUUAAUUUAAAAGUAAUAUUUCUAGAAGAUCAUAAAUAAUAGAAAAUUUUCAAUUUGUAUACUGUUACACUUUUAUACAGCUUUCAAAAAUGGAAGUAAGUUGCAUGUGGCCACGGAAAACUCUAGAUUUAUACAAACUGGUAAAAUCUUGGGUAAUGUAGUAGUGUCACAUUAGUUCCUAAAACAGUUUUAUAUUUGUGUGGCCCUCCUGUCUCCCCAUCUCCUAAGUCCCCUCAAGCUUAUGGAGCUGAUCACUGCAAGAAGGAUGCCAUAGGCAGUGGAGGAACUCCAUUCAAUUUGGUGUCUCUUAUCUACUGCUUACAUAAAAUGGUUACCGUCUGGGGCUGAUGACCUAGAAUUAGAUUUUAAAAUAAAAAGAAUAUCAACAAAAUAAGUGGUCACAGCUCUGAUGACUAAUGGUACCAAGGAUAUAGAGUCUCACCAAUUUGGGGGAUAAGACUGGUGAUUGGGAAUAUUCUUGGAAACCCUGGAGCCGUGCUCCCUAUUGGGAAACCGUGCAAAACCUUUGCACUGUUAACAAUCAGUCUCUAGUAGGUUGUGUUCAAAGAGGACCUUUGAGUCAUUUUCAUUUUCUUUAUUUUCAACUAUCAGGGCUGACAUCAUAGUUUCUGUCAUUGUUUAUGUCGAUCAUAGUUUCUAUCAGAGCACAUGGAAGUAUAGGAAGUUUUUCCUAGCCCAUUUCAUAGUUAAAUAAAAGGAAAGAGAAAGGGAGAUCAACAUGGCAGAAUUUUCUAAGAAGUUUCGCUCUUUUAACAAAGCUUAAAAGCCAGAGAGUGAUAAGUUGUUCCUGACUCCUUGUAAAGAAAUGAAGAUGCUCACUCAGCACCUCAUCCUGUCAUCAGCAGAAUAUCAGUGCCCAGCAGGCUGUAAUCCCCUUGAAAGCAGAGUCUUCAUAUAGUAUGAGCUUUACAUUUCUAAAAGAGGUGUCUAAAUUUACAAAAUGUUAGAGGAGUUAUUAACACUCUUCUAAGAUUACUAAAUUCUUUCAUUAAAUAAUUUCUUAAUGAUUCAACAUGUAUGUGGAAAGUCAUGAAGGAGAGUCUAUCUGCUAUAGUUUAUUAGAUAUGCUGACCACUAUACACUCUUGUAAUUCAUAUGACAUGGGAUAUAUGACAUGAUCAGCAGACAUGAUGAAACAAUAUUUAGGCACUAAAAGACUAACGGAAACUGAAGGACUUAGAAAUAGGAAAUCACCAUUAAUGGGACUCUCAAAGAGAUAACCAGAAAAGAGAAUAGGACACAAGAGUGAUGAGCUCUUGACCUGGAGUGUAUUGCCUGCUAGAAGGAUAAA
Phyllostomus discolor (pale spear-nosed bat) is the source of this 3507-nucleotide long non-coding RNA. RefSeq lists it as uncharacterized. The transcript is spliced from 3 exons. NCBI's taxonomy places the organism in Eukaryota, Metazoa, Chordata, Mammalia, Chiroptera, Phyllostomidae. The record is from RefSeq and is a predicted model, not a curated record.